GGCUGUCCACUGUCCCAAGCCCUCGCAUGUCCUGGAUGGCCGGUCAUCAUCCACACGGGGGCUGAAAGGCCCGGCUCCAGCACUCCUGUGGUCAUCAUCCUGCUGAAUCGCUUUGAACUACCCUUGGCCUAACCGCGACUCCCAUCCCGCUUCCCUCCUGCCUCGCCACUGCAGGCCUGUCCCUUUGCUUUCUUAAAACUGCGCACCGUCUGAGGCCACUUCGAGCCUACUGGAUCCCUGGUUCCAACCCAGUAGGAUCACAGAAGCAGGGCCAGCUGCCAGGAGAAAAAGUUGUUCUCUUCUACCAAAUUUUCCUGCCAUCAAAUGCUCAUUGAGUGACAAUAGAGAAAGCACCAUCAUCCUGAAGCAUCAGAUUGGGAGAAAAGUCCGCUCUCGAGAGCAUCAACUAUGUAGAAAGGGGACCAACCUAUGUUAUAUCUGCCUUAGUGCAUGGGCUGCUGGUCAAUGCUAACAGCUGGCUCUCAGGGAAAAAAGAAAAACCAUCUGUGGCAUCUGCCAAUUUCUGUGGUGUAAAUACUCUGAGCUCUGCCAAUUUCAAGCCAUCCAUCUGACAUUGCUGAACCCAAAGUUGGCAAGGGAUGUGCACAAUUGCCUUUUGCAAGCAAGCUUCUGCAAAAGACUUGAGACAGCUCACAAUGAAGUACUCUGUAUUAGGCAGGGUAAUAUUGAUUGCAAGUGACAGAAACCCAAUCAGAAACUCACUGGAGUCAUGAGGAACACUUAUUGGCUCAGAGUAAAGGCAAAAUAGACCUUCAGAGAAAUAAAGUCUGGGAAAUUGACUAGAUCCUCACUGAAAGAACUACUAAAGGAUGUACUUAUGGAAGAAGAAAAUUACAAAGUGAAAGAACUGGGAUGCAAGAAGUAAUGGAAAUGACAAGCUAACUCUAAAGUUCACAGGAAUGAAAAGCACCUAAAAUAGGCAAAUUCAUUUUGAAAAAGAAGAACAAAGUUGGAGGGCUAAGACGACCUGAUUUCAAAGUGCAAGGCUUCAAUAAUCAAGACAGUUUGAUAUUGGCACGAAGAUACACAAAGAGAUAAUGACACAGACAUUAGGUCCAGAAGACAGUCCAGUAAUAGACUUUCACAUAUAUGGACAACAAAUUUUUGACAGUGCCAAGGCAAUUCAGUAGAGAAAGGAUAGUUU
This 1165-nucleotide long non-coding RNA is filed under the name Homo sapiens (human). RNAcentral describes it as "PREDICTED lncRNA (TCONS_00070659)". The record is from RNAcentral. Lineage: Eukaryota; Metazoa; Chordata; Mammalia; Primates; Hominidae.